GCUGGGCGUGGUGGCUCACGCCUGUAAUCCCAGCACUUUGGGAGGCCGAGGUGGGUGGAUCACCUGAGGUCAGGAGUUCGAGACCAGCCUGGCCAACAUGGUGAAACCCCAUCUCUA
This 117-nucleotide signal recognition particle RNA is filed under the name Nomascus leucogenys (northern white-cheeked gibbon). RNAcentral's name for it is "Metazoan signal recognition particle RNA". It matches the Rfam family "Metazoan signal recognition particle RNA". Rfam says of the family: The signal recognition particle (SRP) is a universally conserved ribonucleoprotein. It is involved in the co-translational targeting of proteins to membranes. Lineage: Eukaryota; Metazoa; Chordata; Mammalia; Primates; Hylobatidae. The record is from Rfam by way of RNAcentral.